AAACAAAUACGAAAAAGACUACGAAUUUACAUGCUCUAACAUGUUUAUAGGAAAUUUUGCUUAUAGCGACAUACAUAACAAAUUAAUCUUCAAUCACCAAGCAUAAUCACAUAACCAAUUUCAUCAUUUUACCAUAACGUGCUUCUGGCCCAAAUCACGACCCAACCAAAAAUUGAUCGAAAUGGGCCCACAUGCCCUACUUUUCCAACCUGUGUGGCCCACACGGCCAGGCACACACUUGUGUGGCUCACAUGGUCAGGCACAUGGCAUAACCAAUUUCAUCAUUUUACCAUAACGUGCUUCUGGCCCAAAUCACGACCCAACCAAAAAUUGAUCGAAAUGGGCCCACAUGCCCUACUUUUCCAACCUGUGUGGCCCACACGGCCAGGCACACACUUGUGUGGCUCACAUGGUCAGGCACAUGACUAGGCACACAGUCGUGUGACGUCGACUGUCAAUUUUGAUUACGCACAAUUUCCCUAAUUUUUUAAGUUUACAGUCACACACCUGACUAUUUUUUGAAAUGUUGACACUAAAGUAGCAACCAAAUUCUGUAGACAACAACCACAACUUAAAUAAUUAAUGAUCACUUCCAAAAAAUCGACCCUUGCUUCCUACAGCAUUCGACCAAUAACAAUAGCGCAUUUGACCCUUUGCGAACUAAAUUAUCACAACUAGCCCCUAAACUUGGGCGUUUGAUUACUCACCCUUAGAAGCAGAGGUCUCCAACACACCUAAAUCACCAAAGGAAAGUGCACCUCAUGAUCCUCACCUAAUAGAAUUAUAAACCAUAAGAAUAACACCAUUAAACCAACAAUCCCCUCAAGUGAUACCGAGCCAACCCUCUUACAAUUAAAGCAAGAGAAAUGAUUAUACUUACUUAAGAAUUUAAUUAUAUUACUACACCAAAACUGCAUAUGACACACAACUAACACCAACACUAAAGGCUAGCGAUGACAAUGGGACGAUACAAAAUCAGGAUGGCGAAAAAUUGAAAGAACAAGGAAAAAGGAUAAUACCAGAAGAGAAAAUCACCAUGGUGGAGAAAGAAAGUUUGCAAAAAUCGAAUAGGGAAAAAUUGGAAAAGAAAAAGACAGGGAAAUUUCAACUGCAAAAAGAAAAUUGACGUGAAAACAAAAUGGAGAAGUGGGGAAAAUGGGGAAGGACACACAAUGGAGGAUUUUUAUAAGUCGAUGUUUUUUAUCAAAAUUUUAAAAAAUACAAAUAAUAUCCUAACCUAUCAAAUUUAUCAGUUAACACAAUCUGGUGGUUUAGAUUUUGCAUUUGACCCACACUCCAACAACAUGGGCGGCACAACAAAGGAAGAGAAAAUAUAAUUUCACUUUCGCACACAACUAGAUUCAAAAUUGGGACCAAAGCAAUUGCUAAGACCUUAUCACUAAACGAGUAAACUCAUUCUUGUCAACAAUUAAAAAAAAUUAUAGAUAAGCUAGGUGCAACUAACUAGAUAGAGGGAUAAAAAUAACCAAAAUUCAAAGGAAUCCAUAACACUAAAACACCGAACCAAAUCAAUUUACUUGACACAAUUUAACAUUUCAAAAUUUAAGAAACUUGGAACGUUAUGUUCGUAAGCUCAACCAAGUCUCGAAAAGGAUUGUAUAAUUUAACUAUGAAAUUUUUUGAUUAUGAUUGCUUGUAUUAUGAUGUAAUUCGAUUAAUAAAUGUUGUCACUAUUUCGAUAUCGACUGUAGCAUCCCAUAACUCAAACCUAACGAUUGGGUCAGGUGAGGGGUGUUACAAAUUUUUUUCAAGUAGGUUUUAUUUUUUGGCAGCUUCGACAACUGUACAAAUAGAUGACAAAAAAAUCAUUGAUUUCAGUACUAGUAACCCUGUAAAGCGCCAUAUAGAGAUAAGACAUAACCACGGACCGGAAGCCAAAUGACCUAACCAUAUUUAAAUUUGACAAAUAUGGGAGAUACAUGCAAAGCAUGAAAAUGCUAGACUUGUAUGCCAUUGAUAUUUUUCCAAUCAUGUAGAGCAUGUAAGCUCUAGAAUUUUUACCAAGCUCAUCGACCACUCCAUGGUUAGUUGAAGAUUGCUCAAGUAGUGUUUUGAAUCAAUUGAAUGAAACAUGACACCCAUUAAGAUCUUUAUUUUAUUCAAGAAUUGCGACCAAUAGUCCAUAAAGUAGUAGUAGCACCAGGAAUACAUGUUCUCUUAUUAUCAUGUAUCCAUAGAUUAGAAGGCCCAUCAGUAAUUGCAUCUUUUAGCAUUAUCAUUGUCUUGCUUGAAAAAAAUGAAAAGUAUAGAUCUCUAGCCUAUAUCUUUCAUUUAAGGCACCAAGAAACUCUAACAAGAACCAGAAGUAGGGCAUUCAAAGUAGAGUAUGUAAAUUUUUCGUAUGUAAUCACUAUACGAAUAGGCUAUUUGGGCAUUAAAACUUAAAUUAUGUCGAGCCCAAAUAAUUUAAUCUCUAUUUUGUUAAAAAUUGCUAAAAGAAUUAAUAUUUACAUUAUAAUCUAAAUAGAAUUUGAUAAUAACAAAAUCUAAUAAUAAAGUGAGUAAAUAUUUUACUGUGGUUGUAGCUUGAAAAGCUAUGUAUUAAUCUUGGAAUCAUAAUGAAGACAUUUUGGUAUGGAACAUUAGGUAGGAAAAUUCAAGAUUGAGGAGAGAAUUUAGAGUUAAAAAUAAUGAAGAGAAAAUGAUUAUAUUGGGUGUUGAGGUCCAACCGCCAAAAUUUAAUUCAAGUGGUUGGGCCUAUAUCAUAUAACUGGAGAGUUGUACUUUGAUACUUAUGGAUGUGGAAGUCAAGCUAAAGACAUUAAUACUAAUAGAUGGAGAGUUGUAAUCAAUAUCUUUAAGAUUGAUGAGCGAAUUUAAAGAUUAGGUUUAAUGUAACACCCCUUACCCGUAUCCAACACCGGAAUAGGGUACGAGGCAUUACCAAAACACAUACACUUGUAAAAGUAUUUAACCGAGUUAUAAAAUUUCAUUUAAAUUAAAACUUUCAAAAUAAUUAACAUGCUUCUAUAACUUUUCACAAUAUAUCCUCAAAAUAUUAUAAUCAUAAUAAUUAGGGCCUGCGAGACCCGAUACAUACUCAUACAAUUCAAUGCUUCAUUUCCAUUUCAUUUAAUUCGCAAUUUCUCAUGCUCACAAUUUAGAUCAUAUCACUAGCAAUUUCCAUUUAAUUCACGUACAAUUCAAUGUCACUAAGUUUAACACUAAUACGUAUUUACCAUUUAACUCAACGUUUAUCGAUUAUAUUAUUCAAUAACACAUUUAUGAAAUUCUUAAUUUUGCAAUGAAAAUAUCACUUUAGCUUAAAUAACAACAUCAUCCUGGUAUAAAUACACUACCACUUAUUCAUUUACUUUAAUUCAUUUGGGCCCAUUUGUCACUUACCAUCCUUAAUCAAAUUAGGGAACGGUUACGGAAAAUUGAGUACUUCACUUUCACUUUGCCAUAGUAUAACUAUGGUCUUACGUAUGUUCACUUAUCACUUGUCCCUGAUCAGAUAAGUGUAGCCACUUAUCACUUUGUUUCUUGAUCAGAUAAGUGUAGCUAAAGCUAUCACUUUUCACUUUUCACUUGUCACUUGAUCAGAUAAGUGUAGCCGAAACUAUCACUUAUCACUUUGUCUCUUGAUCAGAUAAGUAUAGCCGAAGCUAUCACUUAUCACUUUCCACUUGUCACUUGAUCAGAUAAGUGUAGCUGAAGCUAUCACUUAUCACUUUCCACUUGUCACUUGAUCAGAUAAGUGUAGCCGAAACUAUCACUUUUCACUUUGUCUCUUGAUCAGAUAAGUAUAGCCGAAGCUAUCACUUAUCACUUUCCACUUGUCACUUGAUCAGAUAAGUGUAGCCGAAGCUAUCACUUAUCACUUUCCACUUGUCACUUGAUCAGAUAAGUGUAGCCGAAGCUAUCACCUAUCACUUUGUCACUUGAUCAGAAGUACUCAAAUCCGGCGUUCCGCUCAAUUUGAUCAUUUAUUCAAUUUUCGUAUUUUUAUUUUAUUCUCAUUUCAUCAAUAAAUAUAUCUCAUCAUACAUUACAUAACUCAUGAAAUUAACAUUUAAUCAUUAAAUUUCGGCCAUAUGAACUUACUAUUUCAUUAUCUUACCACACUUGUUUCCUAUGCACAUUACACAAGAUAUAAACAUAUCAUUCAACCAUAGUCACAAGCUAGUAUAUUUAAACAUAACUCUUUUUGGAACUAACCACAUGAUAAACCAUUCAUGAAAUUAUUUCAUGCCAAAUCAUAUACCGAAUAUACGAUACACACAUACUAUGAAACUUUAUUUUCACACAUGAGCUUAAACCAAAACCAAUAAUGCACAAAUAUAAGCAUUAUUUCUAUUUCAUCGUUUAUCAAUUAUAAUCAAGCAUAUGACCAAUUAUACACAAAUCAUUCAUAUACUUCCCAAUUUUCCUCCUCCUCCUCUCCAUUCCACAUCCUUAACGUGUAUAACACACUUAAACAACAUUAGCUAUAAUUUCACUAUUCACUCACAUGUAUAUUCAAAGUUGUUUAUCCGAGUCAGAGUCGCUAAAUUAUUUUUAUCUGGAGCUACAGAGCUCCAAAUUAAGAUCCGUUAAUUUUCCCUGAAACUAGACUCACAUAUUCUUACCAUAAAAUUUUCAGAAUUUUUGGUUCAGCCAAAUAGUACAGUUUAUUAUUUAAAGUUUCUCCUAUUUUGCUGUCUGACAGUUCCGACCACUCUUCACUAAAAAUUAAUUAUCUCAUUGUACAGAAUUCGGAUAAUGUUUUUGUUUGUUUCUUAUAAAAAUAGACUCAUUAAGGAUUCUAAACAUAUAAAUUAUAACUCAUAAUCAUUUUUGUACGAUUUUUAAUGAUUUUCCAAAGUCAGAACAGGGGAACCCAGAUUCAUUCUGCCCUUGUCUCACAAAAUCUAUUAUAUCUCAUGAUUUACAAUUUCAUUACUUACACCGUUUUUUCUAUGAGAAACUAGACUCAAUAAGCUUUAAUUUCAUAUUUUAUUCACCCUCUAAUUCAAUUCCCACAAUUUUUGGUGAUUUUUCAAAGUCAGACCACUGCUGCUGCCCAAAACUGUUUAGUGUAAUAUAUUGAUUACCAAUUUGACUCUAAACUUUUAAUACAUGAUAAUUUCGUCCCUAGGCUUGGAAAAUGAAAUUCUUGCAAUAUAAUCCUUGAUUCAAGCCUAGUAUUUCUCAUACAUAUCAAUAACAGCCCAUAGAUUCCAUGAAAUUUUAGAAUUUCUCCAUGAUUUUAAUACUUUUCAAUUUAAUCCCUAAAACAUGUUUUCAUCUAAAAUUCUUUAAUAAAACACCUUUAAACAUCCAUUAACAUCUCAAUUUCAUCACAAAAUAACAACAAUCAUAUGAACUUAUCAUUAGUAUCUUCCAAAACUUUCAACAAAAUGAGAAACUAGUAGAAUACUAAGUUGGACCUAAUUGUAAAAGUCUAAAAAUAUAAAAAUUUCAAGGACAAAGCAAGAAUUAAACUUACUUGAAGCCAAAAUAUGGAAUACCAGCUCCAAACCCUCUUCCAUGGCUGUCUC
Molecule: long non-coding RNA, 5504 nt
Filed under: Gossypium barbadense (sea-island cotton)
Lineage: Eukaryota; Viridiplantae; Streptophyta; Magnoliopsida; Malvales; Malvaceae
Description: long non-coding RNA (GBAR_LNC013251)
Source: RNAcentral